Molecule: small nucleolar RNA, 137 nt
Organism: Cavia aperea (Brazilian guinea pig)
Lineage: Eukaryota; Metazoa; Chordata; Mammalia; Rodentia; Caviidae
Source: Ensembl
CUGGCCCUUAAUCAAGGCCGGCAGAUUCCUGACACUAUUGGUUUCAAGCAGAAGCCUAAAGAGAUGUCUUUCUAUGGUCUGUUGGCCAUCUCAGAACUUGGGCAGUGAAAUGGUCAAUUCAUUAGAAACCGCUUGAA